AAGGGGUAAGGAAAAUGGUCCUUAUCUGCUAUAGGAUAGGAUCGUGUUCGAUUAUGGUUGUUGGUGAGGUAAUGGCUCACCAAGCCGAUAAUCGAUAGGGGCCGUGAGAGCGGAAGCCCCGAGAUGGGUACUGAGACAGCGACCCAGGCCUUACGAGGCGCAGCAGGCGCGAAACCUCCACAAUACACGAAAGUGUGAUGGGGUUACCCAAAGUGUUCUAUUUAGAACUGUAGUAGGUGAGUAAUGUUCCCUACUAGAAAGGAGAGGGCAAGGCUGGUGCCAGCCGCCGCGGUAAAACCAGCUCUUCAAGUGGUCGGGAUAAUUAUUGGGCUUAAAGUGUCCGUAGCCGGUUUAGUAAGUUCCUGGUAAAAUCGGGUAGCUUAACUAUCUGCAUGCUAGGAAUACUGCUAUACUAGAGGGCG
RNAcentral lists this ribosomal RNA (422 nucleotides) under uncultured archaeon. RNAcentral's name for it is "bacterial SSU rRNA". It matches the Rfam family "Archaeal small subunit ribosomal RNA", at positions 177 to 601 of the family's 1478-position model. The record is from RNAcentral.